This 874-nucleotide ribosomal RNA is filed under the name uncultured archaeon. RNAcentral's name for it is "bacterial SSU rRNA". It matches the Rfam family "Archaeal small subunit ribosomal RNA", at positions 21 to 903 of the family's 1478-position model. The record is from RNAcentral.
CCUGACUGCUAUCGGAUUGAUACUAAGCCAUGCGAGUUUUUGUAGCAAUACAAGGCAGACGGCUCAGUAACACGUAGUCAAUCUAACCUAUGGACGAGGAUAACCUCGGGAAACUGAGAAUAAUACUCGAUAGAUCAUUAUGCCUGGAACGGUUUAUGGUUCAAAUGAAUUUCGCCAUAGGAUGGGACUGCGGUCUAUCAGCUUGUUGGUGAGGUAAUGGCCCACCAAGGCUAUUACAGAUACGGGCUCUGAGAGGAGAAGCCCGGAGAUGGGUACUGAGACACGGACCCAGGCCCUAUGGGGCGCAGCAGGCGAGAAAACUUUGCAAUGUGCGAAAGCACGACAAGGUUAAUCCGAGUGAUUCCUGCUAAAGGAAUCUUUUGUUAGUCAUAAUACCACUAAUGAAUAAGGGGUGGGCAAGUUCUGGUGUCAGCCGCCGCGGUAAAACCAGCACCUCAAGUGGUCAGGAUGAUUAUUGGGCCUAAAGCAUCCGUAGCCGGCUCUGUUAGUUUUCGGUUAAAUCUAUAUGCUCAACAUAUAGGCUGCCGGGAAUACUACAAAGCUAGGAAGUGGGAGAGGUAGACGGUACUCCGUAGGAAGGGGUAAAAUCCUUUGAUCUAUGGAUGACCACCAGUGGCGAAGGCGGUCUACCAGAACAUGUUCGACGGUGAGGGAUGAAAGCUGGGGGAGCAAACCGGAUUAGAUACCCGGGUAGUCCCAGCUGUAAACUAUGCAAACUCAGUGAUGCAUUGGCUUGUGGCCAGUGCAGUGCCGCAGAGAAGUCGUUAAGUUUGCCGCCUGGGAAGUACGUACGCAAGUAUGAAACUUAAAGGAAUUGGCGGGGGAGCACCACAAGGGGUGAAGCCUGCGGUUC